This 2263-nucleotide ribosomal RNA is filed under the name Salmonella enterica subsp. enterica serovar Enteritidis. Its description in RNAcentral is "partial 23S ribosomal RNA". It matches the Rfam family "Bacterial large subunit ribosomal RNA", at positions 1 to 2141 of the family's 2925-position model. Lineage: Bacteria; Pseudomonadati; Pseudomonadota; Gammaproteobacteria; Enterobacterales; Enterobacteriaceae. The record is from RNAcentral.
GGGUUGUGAGGUUAAGCGACUAAGCGUACACGGUGGAUGCCCUGGCAGUCAGAGGCGAUGAAGGGCGUGCUAAUCUGCGAUAAGCGCCGGUAAGGUGAUAUGAACCGUUAUAACCGGCGAUACCCGAAUGGGGAAACCCAGUGUGACUCGUCACACUAUCAUUAACUGAAUCCAUAGGUUAAUGAGGCGAACCGGGGGAACUGAAACAUCUAAGUACCCCGAGGAAAAGAAAUCAACCGAGAUUCCCCCAGUAGCGGCGAGCGAACGGGGAGGAGCCCAGAGCCUGAAUCAGCAUGUGUGUUAGUGGAAGCGUCUGGAAAGGCGCGCGAUACAGGGUGACAGCCCCGUACACAAAAGCGCAUGUGCUGUGAGCUCGAUGAGUAGGGCGGGACACGUGGUAUCCUGUCUGAAUAUGGGGGGACCAUCCUCCAAGGCUAAAUACUCCUGACUGACCGAUAGUGAACCAGUACCGUGAGGGAAAGGCGAAAAGAACCCCGGCGAGGGGAGUGAAAAAGAACCUGAAACCGUGUACGUACAAGCAGUGGGAGCCCCACCACCAAAGCAUUUGCUGUACCGCGUUGACGGAGCGAAGCGACGUCAAACCGAUAAAACAGCAGUGUAAAGUGAGCCGCAGGGCGCUUUGCGCGACAGCGCAAAGGCAGGCGGUUUCGCGUAGCGAAAGCGAAUGCUUUGGGGUGGGGUGACUGCGUACCUUUUGUAUAAUGGGUCAGCGACUUAUAUUCUGUAGCAAGGUUAACCGAAUAGGGGAGCCGGAGGGAAACCGAGUCUUAAUUGGGCGUUAAGUUGCAGGGUAUAGACCCGAAACCCGGUGAUCUAGCCAUGGGCAGGUUGAAGGUUGGGUAACACUAACUGGAGGACCGAACCGACUAAUGUUGAAAAAUUAGCGGAUGACCUGUGGCUGGGGGUGAAAGGCCAAUCAAACCGGGAGAUAGCUGGUUCUCCCCGAAAGCUAUUUAGGUAGCGCCUCGUGAAUUCAUCUCCGGGGGUAGAGCACUGUUUCGGCUAGGGGGCCAUCCCGGCUUACCAACCCGAUGCAAACUGCGAAUACCGGAGAAUGUUAUCACGGGAGACACACGGCGGGUGCUAACGUCCGUCGUGAAGAGGGAAACAACCCAGACCGCCAGCUAAGGUCCCAAAGUCAUGGUUAAGUGGGAAACGAUGUGGGAAGGCCCAGACAGCCAGGAUGUUGGCUUAGAAGCAGCCAUCAUUUAAAGAAAGCGUAAUAGCUCACUGGUCGAGUCGGCCUGCGCGGAAGAUGUAACGGGGCUAAACCAUGCACCGAAGCUGCGGCAGCGACGCUUAUGCGUUGUUGGGUAGGGGAGCGUUCUGUAAGCCUGCGAAGGUGGCCUGUGAGGGUUGCUGGAGGUAUCAGAAGUGCGAAUGCUGACAUAAGUAACGAUAAAGCGGGUGAAAAGCCCGCUCGCCGGAAGACCAAGGGUUCCUGUCCAACGUUAAUCGGGGCAGGGUGAGUCGACCCCUAAGGCGAGGCCGAAAGGCGUAGUCGAUGGGAAACGGGUUAAUAUUCCCGUACUUGGUGUUACUGCGAAGGGGGGACGGAGAAGGCUAUGUUGGCCGGGCGACGGUUGUCCCGGUUUAAGCGUGUAGGCUGGUUUUCCAGGCAAAUCCGGAAAAUCAAGGCUGAGGCGUGAUGACGAGGCACUACGGUGCUGAAGCAACAAAUGCCCUGCUUCCAGGAAAAGCCUCUAAGCAUCAGGUAACAUCAAAUCGUACCCCAAACCGACACAGGUGGUCAGGUAGAGAAUACCAAGGCGCUUGAGAGAACUCGGGUGAAGGAACUAGGCAAAAUGGUGCCGUAACUUCGGGAGAAGGCACGCUGACACGUAGGUGAAGUGAUUUACUCACGGAGCUGAAGUCAGUCGAAGAUACCAGCUGGCUGCAACUGUUUAUUAAAAACACAGCACUGUGCAAACACGAAAGUGGACGUAUACGGUGUGACGCCUGCCCGGUGCCGGAAGGUUAAUUGAUGGGGUCAGCGCAAGCGAAGCUCCUGAUCGAAGCCCCGGUAAACGGCGGCCGUAACUAUAACGGUCCUAAGGUAGCGAAAUUCCUUGUCGGGUAAGUUCCGACCUGCACGAAUGGCGUAAUGAUGGCCAGGCUGUCUCCACCCGAGACUCAGUGAAAUUGAACUCGCUGUGAAGAUGCAGUGUACCCGCGGCAAGACGGAAAGACCCCGUGAACCUUUACUAUAGCUUGACACUGAACAUUGAGCCUUGAUGUGUAG